AUGUGGGACACACCCGGGGACAUGUGGGACACACCCGGGGACAUGUGGGACACACCUGGGGACAGGGACAGGUGGGACACACUUAGGGACACCUGGGGACACAUCAGAGACACCUGUGACACAUCUGGGGACAGAUGUGAUACUGUCAGGGACAGGUGGGACACACCUGGGGACAGGUGGGACAGGAACAGACAGGUGACACACCUGGGCAGCGGGGACAGGGACAGGUGUGACACAGCCAGAAAGGUGGGACACACCCAGGGACAGGUGGGACACUCUCAGAGACACCUGUGACACACUUGGGGACAGGUGUGACACUGUCAGGGAUACCUGGGGCACACCCGGGGACAGGUGGGACAGGUGUGAAACUUGGGGACAAGUGGGACAGGGACAUGGAAGGUGUGACACUGUCAGGGAUACCUGUGACACACUCGGGGGCAGGUGGGACACUGUCAGGGACAGGUGUGACACUUGGGGACACAGGUGACAUUGUCAGAGACACCUGUGACACUCCUGGGCAGGUGUGACACAGCCAGACAGGUGUGACACACUCAGAGACACCUGGGACACCCUUGGGGACAGGUGUGACACCUGGGACAGCCACACCGGACCAAAGGUGUGACACACCUGGGCUGGGGGGACAAGGAUGGGUGUGACACACCCAGGGCCAGGUGUGACACCUGGGGACACAGGUGACACAGGCAGGGACGGGUGCCACACUCAUCCAGGUGUGCCUGGUGUGUC
This 744-nucleotide long non-coding RNA is filed under the name Junco hyemalis (dark-eyed junco). Its description in RNAcentral is "lncRNA (ENSJHYG00000012909.1)". Lineage: Eukaryota; Metazoa; Chordata; Aves; Passeriformes; Passerellidae. The record is from RNAcentral.